GAUGAACGCUGGCGGCUUGCCUAAUACAUGCAAGUCGAGCGAACAGACGAGGAGCUUGCUCCUCUGACGUUAGCGGCUUACGGUUGAGUAACACUUUGAUAACCUACCUAUAAGACUGGGAUAACUUCGGGAAACCGGAGCUUAUACCGGAUAAUAUAUUGAACCGCAUGGUUCAAUAGUGAAAGACGGUUUUGCUGUCACUUAUAGAUGUAUCCGCGCCGCAUUAGCUAUUUGGUAAGGUAACGGCUUACCAAGGCAACGAUGCGUAGCCGACCUGAGAGGGUGAUCGGCCACACUGGAACUGAGACACGGUCCAGACUCCUACGGGAGGCAGCAGUAGGGAAUCUUCCGCAAUGGGCGAAAGCCGGACGGAGCAACGCCGCGUGAGUGAUGAAGGUCUUCGGAUCGUAAAACUCUGUUAUUAGGGAAGAACAAAUGUGUAAGUAACUAUGCAAGUAUUGACGGUACCUAAUCAGAAAGCCACGGCUAACUACGUG
RNAcentral lists this ribosomal RNA (497 nucleotides) under uncultured bacterium. Its description in RNAcentral is "partial 16S ribosomal RNA". It matches the Rfam family "Bacterial small subunit ribosomal RNA", at positions 28 to 507 of the family's 1533-position model. The record is from RNAcentral.